This 850-nucleotide long non-coding RNA is filed under the name Triticum aestivum (bread wheat). RNAcentral's name for it is "long non-coding RNA (TAES_LNC005826)". Lineage: Eukaryota; Viridiplantae; Streptophyta; Magnoliopsida; Poales; Poaceae. The record is from RNAcentral.
AACGAUCAGCGUCAUCGUCUAUUUCUGCUUCUUCGUCAUGGGGUUUGGGCCUAUCCCAAAUAUUCUCUGCGCGGAGAUUUUCCCCACCUCCGUCCGUGGCAUCUGCAUAGCCAUCUGCGCGCUAACCUUCUGGAUCGGCGACAUCAUCGUGACCUACACUCUCCCCGUGAUGCUCAACGCCAUCGGUCUCGCUGGAGUCUUCGGAAUAUAUGCUGUCGUUUGCAUACUGGCCUUUGUAUUCGUCUACAUGAAGGUCCCUGAGACAAAGGGCAUGCCCCUGGAGGUCAUCACCGAGUUCUUCUCUGUCGGGGCAAAGCAGGGCAAGGAAGCCACGGACUAGUUGCUCUGAUCUGGUGAUCCGCGUCGCUGGUGGUAAUUUUGUGGUGUCAUAACUACUACUACACUGGUUAACCUGCGAUGCUUUGGUGAAGAAACUUCAAAGAGAGCAGAUACGGAAGACUUUACAUCGUGAGGCUGAAUCGUGUCGUCGUAGGCCAGCUUUUGGAAGUAGGAUAUGUACUUAGAUCAUCUGUUCUUUUCGCUUUGGAACUUUCUAUUUGUGUUAUUCAGAAUUUCUUGCCCAUGUAACUAGUGCUGUUAUCACAAUUUAUGUCGUUUAUGUUUUUGUCUUGCUCGGUCGAUUCAGUUUAUCCUCUUUGUUGCCACUAGUUCUCAGUUGCCAGUCACUUCAGCAGUUUAGUUGUGCUAUUAGUACUAUUUUUGAGGAUAAGUAGUGUUUCUGGGUGUAUGGGAAAUAUGCACACAACCAUUUUAUGUUACUCCUUGGUUUCAUAAUGUAGUGGAUAUAGAUUUUUGUAGAAGUCAAACCUUAUAAACUUUGGCUAAGUUU